UUUGAUGUCUUCUGCGUACCCAGAGAACAAGAACUACGUGGGCAACAGAAGUUUCAGACAGAAGCACUGAGCUUUGAGCAACUUUCCAUUUCAGAAGUAUUGACGUCUGUCUGAUCUACUCGAUCUGGAGGGAGUGAGUACAUAAAGGACAAGCUUCAAAGGCACCAAGAAUAGAAUCCUUGACACAUCACAUUCUGGAACCUCACCACUCACCAAGGCUGUAGUUCUGAUCCAAGCAGUGACGAAGGAGAAUCACCUCACAGUCUCUCGAGAGUGUUCCACUACAUCAUGAGCCACUUGUCUAGGAGGCGGGUGUGCACCGGGGUGAGGAGCGAACUCUUCCAACACUGACACCUCUAUAGACCUGUAUAUAAACCAUCAGUAGAUGCUUAUGAAGCAUCCAGCCUUCAUCUUAACUCAGUGACUUUGCUGUAGCACUCCAUGGCUGUUGAAAGCAGACAGCAGGUAAAGCAGAUGUAUGUGAGAUCUCAUGAAAGAUCACCCACAUCUAUUUUCUUUAGGUGCAGACAAGCCCCGAGUCUGGAAUAGGAGUAAACUGUGUGGAUCCAGUGAAUGGAGAGCUCUGAUGGGAAGAAAUAGCAGAACUAGAAGUAGAGCUGGAAAAGUGCCUGCUGUCCCUGCAGCCUUAGAUCAAUACACCACAUCCAACAAAUCCAAGAGAAGCUAAUGCAACAGCUUGAUGCAGCUAAGAAGGCGUGCGCCACCUACAGGAAGGUUUCAUUUUCACUCAGAUCCACCUGACUGCCUUGCUGCCUCAGCGGACUCCGUCAGCUGCCUUGCCAUACCUUUCCCUUGGAUUGGCUUUCCCAGAAAUCGGGCUUCUUGUGCAAACUCUAACUACUGCUUGGGACAGCCUUUUGACCUGCCGGACUUCCGGGCAUUACAAAAAUGCCCAUGUCGUAUACAUUUUGAAUAUCAUUUAUUGUUUAUUGUUUUUACAGUGCCCAAGAAUCUGACAAGCAGUUAAAGCAAGGGAUGAAGAACCCCACAGUUUAGUAGCCCAAGACAACAUGAAGUCAGGCCAAGGACAACCUCCUCAGAAGAGUCAAAAGAUGUGCAGGACAUGAAGGAUCGGAAUCAAGCAAACAUGUUAUUACUCUGUCUGAAAACGUGCUUUCUUUAAUAAACAUGUGGGCUAUCAAAAGUA
Molecule: long non-coding RNA, 1168 nt
Organism: Mauremys reevesii (Reeves's turtle)
Lineage: Eukaryota; Metazoa; Chordata; Testudines; Geoemydidae
Exons: 7
Source: RefSeq, a predicted model, not a curated record